This 2196-nucleotide long non-coding RNA is filed under the name Sus scrofa (pig). Its description in RNAcentral is "lncRNA (ENSSSCG00025059410.1)". Lineage: Eukaryota; Metazoa; Chordata; Mammalia; Artiodactyla; Suidae. The record is from RNAcentral.
CUAGACUGUCAGUGGAAAUAAUUUUGGUCCAUUCUGCUGAAGUGUUUGGGUCUGUUUAAUAAGCUUACAAAUAAAGACACCAAAAAGCAAUAUUUCUCAAUGAGGAAGACAAUUAGCACUUUAGAUAAGAAAAUUCUUUUUUUUGUCAGAAUAGAUCAAGGAUUAUUUUUUUUGUUAUUAUUAUUAUUUUUUCCAUUUCUUUGGGCCGCUCCCACGGUAUAUGGAGAUUCCCAGGCUAGGGGUCGAAUCGGAGCUGUAGCCGCCGGCCUACGCCAGAGCCACAGCAAUGCAGGAUCUGAGCCGCAUCUGCAACCUACACCACAGCUCAUGGCAACGCCGGAUCGUUAACCCAUUGAGUAAGGGCAGGGACCGAACCCGCAACCUCAUGGUUCCCAGUCGGAUUCCUUAACCACUGUGCCACGACGGGAACUUCUAGAUCAAGGAUUAUUAAACGUCUAUCUCCCCUGCCUCCCCUCCCCGACUAAACUCUGGUGGCACCCUGCAAUUGCUGUGACCGCUGACACCACUGUGCCUUCCCAUUUCUAAUGCCUUCCGCAGGGUUAGUAGCAACCAGCACUGAGAACUACCAAGGAAAGAAGCAAUCGUGAAUUUACACGAGAUUUCUGGAUUACUUCUGGAAACAGCAUUGUAGAUGAGUAAUGGAUAUCAGGAUCUGAAGUCAAACAAACUGUCAGAUAGGAAAACAAGGCCAGGAACACAGAGGAAAGCUGGGUGAAAGGAACCUAUUUGGGGAAGAUCAGAAGUCAGUAGAGAGAGGUAGAGAAGAUUCAUAGGUCCAAAGAGAGGAAGAUAAGACGAACUAAUUACUAACUCAAAAGAGAAGUGAACUGUCUUAAAUAUCUUAGGACUUUCCCCUUCAACCUGACCCAGAGUCUCAGGUGACUCUCAGGUGACCCCUGUUUGGUUCAGCACCUGGUUUUCCACCAGGGGCUUGCCAGGUAUUUUGAGAAGAGUCUCUAUCCCUUAUAUGAGCUUGUAGUUUUAUCCUCCACUUCAUAUAUCUGAAGGAAGUAGAUGAGAAUAAAGCAACGUGUCUAGAUUUGCUGUGCAUCAGUAAAGCAGUGAUGGUUAACCCUAUGGAGAAAUGGCCUGAAAGUAGGAAUGAAAAAUUCGUGUAGGUCAUUUAGAAUUUCAAGACUUUUUUAUAUCAACUACUCAGUGUUUCUUGAGCGUGUCCACAUUUUUCUGCACCCACAUCCACUCCCAUUAUAACCUUCCACCCAUACUGUCCUUCCCUCACUCUCAUUGUCUGCCCCAACCCAUCCCCCAAGCUUCAGCUCAGGGGCCACUGUCUCCGAAAGCCCUUUCCAAAAUCCCAUGGUUCUUUGUUUUCUGUUUUUUUCCUUUAUGGUCCAUGAAGGAGUUUUACUUUAUUUUUUACUUUUUAUAUGUGGGGUAUUAUUUUCUUGACAUGAAUUGGAAACUCUUGGAAACUAAGGACUAUUGUCUUUUCAUUGUAUUUGUAGCCACACUUGCAAUUAUCUCCUACUUCAGAGCUUCCCAGUUGGUGUGUGGAAAACCUUCAUAGUACACACCACCAACUUCUCAACAAUGUGUAAAUUUUAUUUGACUAUAUAACUAAGGAUGCAUAUUGUUACUGCAAUGACUGCAGGUGAAACACGGAAUUGAGUAGAUGCAGCAAAGAGUACAGGGCGAGGUAUAAUUUGCUGCAAAAUAAGAAGAGACUUGAUAUUAUCAAAAUUGCAUCAAAGAAAGAGCAUAAUAACUGAAAUAAGAAAUGAUCCUUUAAGACAACAAAUGACUGCAACUAUUUUGACAUCUAAAGCAGAGUAGCAAAAUUCAUUGCUUUAGUGGAUGGGUAUUUUAUUUUAAGAAAUAAUUGGAAGGAGUUCUCUUGUGGUGCAGUGGAUUAAGGAUUUGGCAUUGUCACUAUAGUGGCUCAGGUCCCUGCUAUGGCACAGUUUCUAUCCCUGGCCUGGAACCUGGAAUUUCUACAUGCCGCAGGCUCAGGAAAGAAAAACAAACAAACAAACAAACAAAAAAAACCGCCUUGAUGGUUAAGAGUGAGAAAACAAAGAAAGGUAGAUUUCUCUGUCAAAUAAAGACUGGUAUGCAGUCUUCCAAGAAGCAGAGUAAUUGUGCGGCAGCCGUGGGGACAGAGGGGUGUGACUUGGAGAAGAGGAAAUACAGGGCUGCAGGAGAUGGAGAGAGGUG